This 386-nucleotide long non-coding RNA is filed under the name Pan troglodytes (chimpanzee). RNAcentral describes it as "long non-coding RNA NONPTRT004528". The record is from RNAcentral. Lineage: Eukaryota; Metazoa; Chordata; Mammalia; Primates; Hominidae.
CUCAGGAUGUAAUACAAGAUGGAGGCUUGAUUUCACAACCAAAACUUUCCAGAGAAUACAGCGAUAGAUGUUGGAGGUCCCUAGUCUAGCACAACAUCUUCUAAAAGAAAAUGAAACUUUUAAAAGUUAACUACCGACAGGGUAGACAGAAAAGAAAAUAAACAGUUUAAAAAUACCUGAGGAAGAGCCUCUCAUUCCUAUGCAACUGAUUCGUCCACCAUGGAGAUUAGUUCGAUUAUUGUCCAAUGGAGUAGAACCCCUUGGCUGGGGUAGGGGAAGGAGGAGACCGCAAGCUGGCUGUGCGAAGACCCUUGAGCCACGCGUCCCAGCCCCAGCAUGAAGCAGGACCCAGACCUCUGGUUUAAUUCAACACAUGAAACAAUUUC